UGUGUGUGUGUGUGUGUGUGUGUGACUGGGUCUCUGCUAUUUGGAAAACUGACAGAGCACUGUAACNCUUAGUCGGAUUCGUUAACCACUGCGCCACGAUGGGAACUCCAUGCAAACUCUUGCAUUUGGAAUGGAUAAGCAAUGAGACGCUGCUGUGUAGCCCUGAGCACUACAUCUGGUCACUUGUGAUGAGCAUGAUGGAGGAUAAUGUGAGAAAAAGAAUGAAUACAUACACAUACGUGUGUGUGUGUGCGUGUGACUGGGUCUCUUUGCUAUUCAGAAAUUGACAGAACACUGUAACCAGUUAUAAUAGAAAAAAUGAAAAUCAUUAUUUAAAAAAAGGGCAUUCUUUACCUCAGUGGUUAAAGCAGAUCUGCCAGGAGGGUUGGCAGGAUUCGUUCCCACAAAGUUCAGGCAGAAACACGUAUGAGCCAAAAUGAUGUCUCCACCCUCGAGAGGUGAAUGUUGUCUCCACUGCAAACGCAUGAUACUCUUCAACCCAUCAGGUCCAGCAAUUCUCCUUCUGAGGACUCACCCAGAAGAACUGAAGGCACCCUCCAGAAGAAUUCUCUGUACAGCCUUUUUCCUGGCAGCGUUGCUCACAAGAGCUAGAACACGCAGUACCCCAAGUGCCCACGGACCAACGAAGGGCUGUCAGAGGUCGUGUGUACACACAGCAGCGUGUUGUUCAGCCUUAAGAAGGAAGGGAAUGCUAACACAUGCCGCGCCGUGUGUCUACCUUACAGACAUCCUGCUAAGUAAGCCACUGCCUGUGUUACCAGGGCCUGGAGCUACACCUUUGACAGCCUGAUCGGGAACCAUAUCUCGCAGGUGUUAGAGGGAACGUUCUCUGAGCAUGUGCCCUCGUUCCUGUCCCCAUACCCAGACAUUGUUGCGCUGGUGCUAGUGCUGGUGAUGACUGGUAAGAAGGGGUCAGAGCUAAGCUGGGAAGCAUGGACUGUGAAUGGGGGAGCUAGGGUUGGAAGGCUUGGGUCCCCAAAUGGUCGGGGGAUUAGGACUGGAGAGAAAGGGUCAGGAAGGCAGAGCUUAGCCUAUUGUUUUCCACCUUUGCAGCACUGACGUUUGCAGGGGGUGGGGGCUGUCCUGUGCUCCCCGAAUUGCAUUUUUCUUUCUUUCUUUUCUCUUUUUUUAAAAUAGAGCUGCAUGGGUGGCAUAUGGAAGUUCCUCAGGCUAGGAUUUGAAUCCAAGGCACCCCUGUGACCUACACCACAGCUCAUGGCAGCACUGGAUCCUGCAGCCAGUGAGUGAGGCCAGGGAUCCAACCCACAUCCUCCAGGGGCAACAGUGGGUACUUAACCAGCUGAUCCACAGUGGGAACUCCUGUAAAAUAACUGUGGGAUGUUUACCAGCAUCCCUGGCCUUUACUCCUCCAUGUGACACAUGACAGUCAGAAUGUCUCCAGAUAUGGCCACACCUCCAUCCGGGGACAAAAUCAGCCCAGCUCCGAAUGACUGAGAAAAUGACAAGUUUUCUCAUGUAUAUUGAUAACAAGCAUUUUUGUUUUUGUCUUUUUAGGGCCACACCAGCGGCAUAUGGAUAUUCCAAGGCUAGGGGUCUAAUUGGAGCUACAGCUGCUGGCCUAUACCAGAGACACAGCAACACUAGAUCUGAGCCGCCUCUGCAAUGCACACCAUAGCUCACUGCUCGCCAGAUCCUUAAGCCACUGAGUGAGACCAGGGAGGGAAUCUGUAACCUUAUGAUUCCUAGUCAGAUUCUUUCUGCUGCACCACCACAGGAACUCCACAAUGAUGUUCUUUUAAAGGAAGGAAGAUUCUCAGAGGAGAACUAAU
RNAcentral lists this long non-coding RNA (1811 nucleotides) under Sus scrofa (pig). Its description in RNAcentral is "lncRNA (ENSSSCG00060038354.1)". The record is from RNAcentral. Lineage: Eukaryota; Metazoa; Chordata; Mammalia; Artiodactyla; Suidae.